UACAGAGGUCUCAAGCGUUGUUCGGAUUCAUUGGGCGUAAAGGGUGCGUAGGCGGCGGGGCAAGUCUGAUGUGAAAUCCCCGGGGGCUCAACCCCCGGAACUGCAUUGGAUACUGCCUUGCUAGAGUACUGGAGAGGGAACUGGAAUUUACGGUGUAGCAGUGAAAUGCGUAGAGAUCGUAAGGAAGGCCAGUGGCGAAGGCGAGUUCCUGGACAGUUACUGACGCUGAGGCACGAAGGCCAGGGGAGCAAACGGG
RNAcentral lists this ribosomal RNA (256 nucleotides) under uncultured bacterium. RNAcentral describes it as "partial 16S ribosomal RNA". It matches the Rfam family "Bacterial small subunit ribosomal RNA", at positions 524 to 776 of the family's 1533-position model. The record is from RNAcentral.